AAUCAACGCUGGCGGCGUGCCUCAGACAUGCAAGUCGAACGAUUAAAGCUCGUCUUCGGAGAGUGCAUAGAGUGGCGCACGGGUGAGUAACACGUAAGUAAUCUACCUUCGAGUGGGGAAGUAACGUCCGGAAACGGACGCUAAUACCGCAUAAUGCAGCGGGCAUCAUAAGAUGACAGUUGUUAAAGAUUUAUCGCUUGAAGAGGAGCUUGCGGCA
Molecule: ribosomal RNA, 217 nt
Filed under: uncultured bacterium
Lineage: Bacteria
Description: partial 16S ribosomal RNA
Rfam family: Bacterial small subunit ribosomal RNA
Source: RNAcentral